Chiroxiphia lanceolata (lance-tailed manakin) is the source of this 571-nucleotide long non-coding RNA. RefSeq lists it as uncharacterized. The transcript has 3 exons. Lineage: Eukaryota; Metazoa; Chordata; Aves; Passeriformes; Pipridae. The record is from RefSeq and is a predicted model, not a curated record.
CAUUUUGCAGAAGUGAUGACAGAAGGAGAAGGGACCGUGACAUCCCUCACACCCCAGGAGGGUGUUUAUGUGCCACUUGCAGGGGGCAAAGAAGGUGCCACCCUGAUAAUCACCACUCCAAACACAGGCAUGAAGCUGAUUCAGUUAUAUGCAAUGAACCACUCACCUGAGUCCUGCACAACCAUCAGCAACCUCCCAAAACUCAGCCCUCUGAUUUUCAGCAUGUUUUCUAAGAAGCUCCAAUGUCAGCAAAAGCACUAACUAGGACAGUACCUUAUGGACAGUGUAAGCUGGCAGAUUUUCCCUCUGAACAUAUGGAUCUCACUGAUAAAGCCUAUCUCCAGCACUUAGCCCGUGCUGUGCAGUCUGUGCCACCUCAGCUGCAUCCCACCCGUGUUUGGGAGGCUCUAAAACCCUUCCACUGAAACAAAACAGUAACUUGGAGAUGUGUUAAUGUUCAAAACCCCUGGUGUGAUUCUACAGUUAUUAAUUAGCACAUCCAACAAGGUGCCUGCCCUCUGAAGGGCAUUAAAAUCCCAUGAGACAGAGGCUGAAGAGCAGGGACCUACUA